UUAACUCUAACAGUUUGCUCAUAGAUUCUUUUAGAUUUUCUACAUAUACCAUUAAUGUCAUCUGGGUGUAAUAUUAUUCUUAUUAAUUCCUUUCCCACUCUUGUGCUCUUUUUAUUUCCUCUCAACUUAUUGCACUGGCUAAAACCUCCAGUGUUUUGCUGAACAGAAAUGGUGAUAGUGCAAACAUCAGAUUUCACUCCAUUGGAUCAGGGACAAAUGGUUUCCUCAGCUAAGCCUUUUGGCUGAGAAAUAUGGCAGACGUAACGUAUACAUGAUUUCAGUUAUAGAAAUGUAAACGUUAUGCAUUGAUAAAAAUUUGGCAUCACACCUGUGCAAGGUAUGCAACAUACCUAUUGUCACUUGAGAAGCACUCACUCGGUGUGUUUACCAAUUAGCUUCUUUAUCAUCCUCUUUACCAGUCAGUAUGAUUCUCAGGGAUUAGAGGGGAGGCUUUCUAGUUGUCCAAUCUUGAUAAUAUUACAUUCAAAGUUUAACAUUCUUGUCUGGCUAAUCUAUCUCACUUUCUCCACAAUGUUCCCAAGAGACCUACACAGUAACACGAUGAGAAGCAAAGAAUUUUCAUUAUGAGUUGCCUAAGUAUUCUACUCGCUAAUGUAGGACCACAAGGAGUCCUUCGUGAAAUGGCUCGGAUGAACUCAGCAGCUGAGGGACCUGUAAGUUUACCCUCAUACUACUUAUUACACGUGUGUUUUGUCAUUAUUUGUUCAGUGAUAUUCCCAGGAGCUGACAGACCAAAGAUCACGCACGCCUUAUCUGUUCAUUGCUCUAUCCUAAGAUCCCACCAAGUACCUGGCAUAGAUCUACCAUUUGUUGACUUUUAACUAGUAUGGGAGGUGUCAAAAAUGUUACUCCACCUAUGUGACACAAAGCCCCAGUUCGCUCAUUCAUUGUUUAGUCAUUCAAUAACUAUUUGAGGACAUGCUAUGUGCCAGGAUCUAUGUUACCCUUUUUCUAUCCAAUAUAUCAUUUAGUUCUCUCAACAUCCCUUCAACAUAGACAUCAUUACCCCCAUUUGAUAGAUGAGUAAACUGGGGCUGUGUUUUAACAGAGUUCACAUCCAAAGCAACACUAUUUGAGUCGAAAAGCAAUGUUUUGCAAAAGAAAAAAAAUGACAACAGACACAAAUAAAGAAUAUGGUGGGGUGAAGAUGUAGUAAGGCAUGGUCACCGCUUUGGAGGAUGUGAAUGGGUGUGAUGUGGCACCAGCAGGGACUAUUAUAUUUGAAAGCCAAAGUGAUACGUGUCAGUCAGAAGCUCUAGACUUUAAGAAAAAAAAGAAUUGUGGUGAGAAGAACCGUCCAACGGGAGAACGGUCAGCUUAGUGCCGCGAGCUCCCGUGUUGUCAUUCUGGGACAGACCCUCUACUAAGGUAUGAAUCCCAUGAUGCCAACGUUGCCUUUUAGGGGCUCGUAGUCUUGAUGUGGGAGCAGCACAAGUCAUUUACUUGUUUACUGCUGGAGAGGGCAGCCCAAGGUACUAUGGAGGCACAGACAUAGGAGUGCAUGACAACUCCUUCUCUACCAAGCCUUCCUUGAGAGAUCUGGAUGUAGUUAGAGAAAGGCCUUGUGAGAAAAGUAGGAGAGGUCUAGGUGAAGAAGAGAAAGGUAUUCCAGGAAGAGGGGUUGGCACAUGAAAGAGGCCCGAUGCCUCAAGUGCCUGUAGAGUAGAUCUGGAGAAAAAUGCUAGUAACUCAGUUGGGUGAAAGCUUAGGAUCACACGCUGGGGCAAUGGCCUGGACAAACAAGCCUCAGAUCUUGAAAGGUCUUGAAAGAUCUCCCAAGGAGGUCGGAUUUCUCCUUGUGACCCACAGGGCAGAGUUCUAAGCCGAGGCCUGCCCAUAGCUGACAGCCCGUCUCCUCCAUGCAUCCCAGUGUCUCUUAGCUAGCCUUGCUUCUGGACUCAGUGUGGAAAAUGUGCUAAUUAGUGAUGAAAACCAUUGUGUUCUCCAGGCCUGUAAAGGCUUCCUGGGAGCACUUUGCAGAAAGAAGUCCUGGCUGUUGCUGUCAACAUUUCAUGCGACUCCUGUAAUAACAGUAUCCUGGGUCCCCAGGCAGUUUUCUCUUCUCCUGGGUGUGCCUGCCUCAGUGUCACUCAGAGAAUCACAUCACUGUGGCCUGGUGCUCCAGUGUGCACAGAUCCAUUCAGGCCUGGAACCCGUCAGAGACACAGGGAAUUAGAUGUGUCAGGAAGAGAGGGGCAGGGCCAUAUAGCCGGGACAGUUUCCAUACAGCUUUUUGGCUCCUCGUGGUGUUUGUGGAAAAAGAACAUUUUUUGCUAAGGAGUGAGGUGCUCUUUGCUACCACCAUUUUUUUUUUUUUUUUUGCCCCCAGAGGUUGUUCUUGUAUUUAUCUGUUCAGGACUUUGAAAAUAUGUAAUAAACCCAUUUGUAUUUUAGCUGUAGUACCAAUGAAAUUAUGCUAAGCUAGUGCCAAUCCUCUUUUGGCAAACCUUUCCAAGCAUUCAGCAACAGGCAACAUUUGUUGGGUGGAAAGAAAAAAAGAUCCAGACGUUUAGGGCACAUGUUGAGGGGUAUGUGAAAACUCAAGUGUGAUUCACUUGGAGAGGCAUCUCAAUCCCCAUUUCACAGAUGUGUAAUUGGGCAAAUCGCCUUAGCAGGGAACCUCAGGAGUUAGGACAAAUUCCUCUCCCCUCCCCACCCACCAUUGCCAACUAGUCUCCACUCGCAUCUAACUGGUUACUGUGAAACCUAUUCAUCAACGCACCCUACCUCUAGAUCCAUUUUUCACUCUUCUCUUACUUGCUAUUGACCCAAGAAGGCUGACAUCUACAGAUCACAGGACCCAGGCUCUCCUGACCUCUCGCUUCCAGUUGGCCUUGGCCAGUGAGAGGUACUGGCUCAAGAUCAAAGAGUGGAAGGAUAGAGAGGCUGGGUAUGCUAUUCCCUACCCGGCCUCCCCCAGUUUAGCCAUGUUCUGUAGAAGCGGUGUUCCUGGCACAGCUCCUUUUGGAUCGGCCAUCUUCUCUGGCUUCUGAUAUCUCUGGGCUCUUAUAAUACCAUUCCCUUCCCUUGUCCCCUCAGGUCUGGGGGUGGCGAUACCUUCUUUUUCUUGGUUGGGCCUCAUUCCCUUAACCCUGCCCAUACCACUCAGGAUGAACUUAUUAAGUAAAAUCCUUCUGAGUGUGCCUGUGCCCUGCCAGACCCACAGUGACAAAGUCGCCAAGCCUCUUCAUUUUAUUUCCCCAGGAUCUCUCUCUUCUUUUCCCCACUAAUGACUCUCUUCAUUUCUGGGUUAGAUUUAUUAGAUAGCGUCCUCCCUGUCUCCAGUCUGGCCAGCUCCUUUCAUCCUCAUGCUACAGUCAGAUAGUUUCCUAGAUCAUGCAUGCAAGCAUGCCAUGUUCCAAAUUAAGAUCUUUCCAUGGCUCUUCACUUCUCUUCAGGUCAAAGCCAAACUCUGCCUGUCCACAAAGCCCUCCAUGGCAUGGCCUCAGCCAGCCUCUCCUUCCUGGCUGCUCCUCUUUAGGGGUUCCAUGCUACAGCUAUGAGGAAGCACUAGCCGCCUUCCAGGCCCAUCCAGCAUGCGUAUGCUCUCCCAAGAAAAUGGCUGCACAACUGGUAUUUAUUGAGCACUUCCUAUGCACCAGGCACAAACAUAGGAAUUUUUUGUUAAUGGGCAAUUCAAUUUAAUUCUCACAUCGACCCACCUUGGCAUCUGAUUUACGGUCUCCAUUUUACAGAUGGGGAAUCUGGGGACAGCUCUGCGAGGGAAACUGCCAUCAUCAUUCAGCUGAGAAGCAGUAGAGACCGGUUUUAAAUCCAGGCAUCCCAGCUUAGAGGGUCACAAACUGUAGUCAAUGGGAGCUCAAAAACCAACUAUUCUUUUAGAUUCAGCUCAGAGCUCACCUCUACUGAGGCAUUUCUCCUGAUGCCCUCCAACGGAAGAAGUCAUUCCCUCAUCUGGGUUUCUACAUGUGUUCCCUCAACUCAAGCCAAUGUAUUGCGAUCCGCUGUUUCCGUUCCUGUGGAUGGAGUCCCACGAACUGAGAGAGAACUUCCUAAGGAAAGGCCAUCAGCUUUCUGUGCAAGGCAGGCACCAGGUUAGGCUCUGAGCACACUGUAUGAGUUUAGUAAUCUGGGACUGAGUGGGUGGAUGAGUACAUUUGAAACAUGGCCACCUAGCUCAAGCCAGCAUCUGUGUAUAUCAGAAAAGGGAAAGUCAGUUCCAAAGCCCCCAGAGACUUUGUUCAAAUGUUAAAAGUCACUGAAAUGUACUGAGAACCUAGCGAGUCCCAGGCAUUGUUUUAGACCCAGGGUGAGAGCAAUGGACAAGAAAAAGGUGUCUCCCUCACAGAGAUGACAUUUGUGUUAAUCACUACAUUAAUAAAGUGAAUGAAGGAAUGGAGUGAGGGAGGAAGGCAUAUCUUUAGCUGAGAUGAUAUUUUGUAAGGGCUCUAAAGAGCCAUAAAGCACCAGGACAGAGAGAAAAUAGUGGAGGUCGGGGGGGGGGGGGUGCUUUCCUAGAGAGGAUAUUUGAGCACAGGCUUAAGGAGGCAGAACCGAAAGUUCUAGGAGGAUGUGGGGAGUGAAGCUCAGGCAGAGAAAAAGGCAGGUACAAAGGUCUUGAGCAGGAACAAGCCUGUCAUGUCUAAGCAGGAGCAGGACCUUCAGUGUGGCCAGGGCACGGGCACUGAGAAGGACGUUUCGGAACAUCAGAUACUGGAGGGCAUCAGAGGUGGUGAUUUAAAUUUACUCUAUGUGUGAGGGAAGAUGUUGGUAUUUUUGAUUAGGACAAAGUCACGAUCUGCCUUUCAUAACAAAAGAUACCUCCCUGGUACCUUUCUGGCUGCUCUGUGGAGAGAACAGGAUUUCAGUUCUCAGUCUCUUGACCUCCCACUGUGCUUAAGGUACAUCCUUAUAACCGACUAGUUAGUAGUAAUAAAAUAAUGAUAAAGUCAUUGACCAUCCUGAAAGCAAUUAGAUACUAAUAAUUUCAACUAUGUCUUUUUUGUGCCAAUAUGAUUUCAUUUUCUAGUUGUUGAACAUGUGCUAUUACCAGGCGCUGAUGUACUUAAUAUAUUUAACUUGUAGGGAUGUGAAGAGAAUUUAAGAUAAUGAUCGCCACCCCUCCCCCACCC
Long non-coding RNA from Leopardus geoffroyi (Geoffroy's cat), 5114 nucleotides. RefSeq lists it as uncharacterized. The record is from RefSeq and is a predicted model, not a curated record. The transcript is spliced from 2 exons. Lineage: Eukaryota; Metazoa; Chordata; Mammalia; Carnivora; Felidae.